Molecule: ribosomal RNA, 737 nt
Filed under: bacterium EAB-4I54.01
Lineage: Bacteria
Description: bacterial SSU rRNA
Rfam family: Bacterial small subunit ribosomal RNA
Source: RNAcentral
AGGAUGAACGCUGGCGGCGUGCCUAAUACAUGCAAGUCGAGCGAAUGGAUUAAGAGCUUGCUCUUAUGAAGUUAGCGGCGGACGGGUGAGUAACACGUGGGUAACCUGCCCAUAAGACUGGGAUAACUCCGGGAAACCGGGGCUAAUACCGGAUAACAUUUUGAACCGCAUGGUUCGAAAUUGAAAGGCGGCUUCGGCUGUCACUUAUGGAUGGACCCGCGUCGCAUUAGCUAGUUGGUGAGGUAACGGCUCACCAAGGCAACGAUGCGUAGCCGACCUGAGAGGGUGAUCGGCCACACUGGGACUGAGACACGGCCCAGACUCCUACGGGAGGCAGCAGUAGGGAAUCUUCCGCAAUGGACGAAAGUCUGACGGAGCAACGCCGCGUGAGUGAUGAAGGCUUUCGGGUCGUAAAACUCUGUUGUUAGGGAAGAACAAGUGCUAGUUGAAUAAGCUGGCACCUUGACGGUACCUAACCAGAAAGCCACGGCUAACUACGUGCCAGCAGCCGCGGUAAUACGUAGGUGGCAAGCGUUAUCCGGAAUUAUUGGGCGUAAAGCGCGCGCAGGUGGUUUCUUAAGUCUGAUGUGAAAGCCCACGGCUCAACCGUGGAGGGUCAUUGGAAACUGGGAGACUUGAGUGCAGAAGAGGAAAGUGGAAUUCCAUGUGUAGCGGUGAAAUGCGUAGAGAUAUGGAGGAACACCCCAGUGGCGAAAGGCGACUUUCUGGUCUGUAAC